Molecule: ribosomal RNA, 468 nt
Filed under: uncultured bacterium
Lineage: Bacteria
Description: partial 16S ribosomal RNA
Rfam family: Bacterial small subunit ribosomal RNA
Source: RNAcentral
GACGAACGCUGGCGGCGUGCUUAACACAUGCAAGUCGAACGGAAAGGCCCUGCGUUUGUGGGGUGCUCGAGUGGCGAACGGGUGAGUAACACGUGAGUAACCUGCCCUUGACUUUGGGAUAACUUCAGGAAACUGGGGCUAAUACCGGAUAGGAGCUCCUGCUGCAUGGUGGGGGUUGGAAAGUUUCGGCGGUUGGGGAUGGACUCGCGGCUUAUCAGCUUGUUGGGGGGGUAGUGGCUUACCAAGGGUUUGACGGGUAGCCGGCCUGGGAGGGUGACCAGCCACAUUGGGACUGCGAUACGGCCCAGAAUCCUACGGGAGGCAGCAGUGGGGAAUAUUGCACAAUGGGCGGAAGCCUGAUGCAGCAACGCCGCGUGCGGGAUGACGGCCUUCGGGUUGUAAACCGCUUUCGCCUGUGACGAAGCGUGAGUGACGGUAAUGGGUAAAGAAGCACCGGCUAACUACGUG